Non-coding RNA from Acanthosepion pharaonis, 102 nucleotides. The record is from the annotation of a GenBank genome assembly. Lineage: Eukaryota; Metazoa; Mollusca; Cephalopoda; Sepiida; Sepiidae.
CACGUUAAAACACCAGUUCCCGUAAGAUCAACGAUGUUAAACAACGUCGAGUCUGGUCAGUAUGUUGAUGGGUGACCGCUUUGGAGUACCAGGUACUGUAAG